RNAcentral lists this ribosomal RNA (380 nucleotides) under uncultured cyanobacterium. RNAcentral describes it as "bacterial SSU rRNA". It matches the Rfam family "Bacterial small subunit ribosomal RNA", at positions 376 to 770 of the family's 1533-position model. Lineage: Bacteria; Bacillati; Cyanobacteriota. The record is from RNAcentral.
CGCAAGCCUGACGGAGCAAGACCGCGUGGGGGAGGAAUGCCUUAGGGUUGUAAACCCCUUUUAUCUGGGAAGAACAAAAUGACGGUACCAGAUGAAUAAGCCUCGGCUAACUCCGUGCCAGCAGCCGCGGUAAUACAGAGGAUGCAAGCGUUAUCCGGAAUCACUGGGCAUAAAGCGUCUGUAGGUGGUUUGAUAAGUCUGCUGUUAAAGACUAGGGCUUAACCCUAGGAAAGCAGUGGAAACUAUUAGACUUGAGUAUGGUAGAGGUAGAGGGAAUUCCUAGUGUAGCGGUGAAAUGCGUAGAUAUUAGGAAGAACACCAAUGGCGAAAGCACUCUGCUGGGCCACAACUGACACUGAGAGACGACAGCUAGGGGAGCA